AACGCGAAGAACCUUACCAAGGUUUGACAUGCAGGGAAAAGCCUCAGAGAUGGGGUGUCCGUAAGGGUCCUGCACAGGUGGUGCAUGGCUGUCGUCAGCUCGUGUCGUGAGAUGUUGGGUUAAGUCCCGCAACGAGCGCAACCCUCGUCCUAUGUUGCCAGCGGGUAAUGCCGGGGACUCAUAGGAGACUGCCGGGGUCAACUCGGAGGAAGGUGGGGAUGACGUCAAGUCCUCAUGCCCCUUAUGUCUUGGGCUGCAAACAUGCUACAAUGGCCGGUACAAAGGGUUGCAAGACCGCAAGGUGGAGCGAAUCCCAAAAAGCCGGUCUCAGUUCGGAUUGGGGUCUGCAACUCGACCCCAUGAAGUCGGAGUCGCUAGUAAUCGCGAAUCAGCAACGUCGCGGUGAAUACGUUCCCGGGCCUUGUA
RNAcentral lists this ribosomal RNA (426 nucleotides) under uncultured Actinomycetes bacterium. RNAcentral's name for it is "bacterial SSU rRNA". It matches the Rfam family "Bacterial small subunit ribosomal RNA", at positions 958 to 1385 of the family's 1533-position model. The record is from RNAcentral. Lineage: Bacteria; Bacillati; Actinomycetota; Actinomycetes.